Molecule: small nucleolar RNA, 108 nt
Organism: Juglans regia (Persian walnut)
Lineage: Eukaryota; Viridiplantae; Streptophyta; Magnoliopsida; Fagales; Juglandaceae
Source: RefSeq, a predicted model, not a curated record
AAAUUGUGAUGUGGACAGAUGUUCACCAAAUCCUUAAACCUUUCCCAGCUAUCCUGGAAAGUCUCGUCAGAUUUCUGAUUGAACUGACUAAUCUGCUCUUGUAAAUAC